GGUCUGAAGGCACGUCGAAUCAUGGUGGCUCUGGGAGCAAUGGGUACGGAGGAAGUAAAUUUGGAAGCUUUGGCUAUAUGGCAACUGACGCGGUGUCUGCAUUGGGUACUUCAGCAAGCGACUUAACACGGACGGUAAUAGAGUCGAAACAAAACCAAGGUGGAGAUCAAGAGGAGGGCGAAGGCGAGGAGAAUGACAAGGCGGCUGGCAAGACGAAUGGCAAGUCGGAAAGCAAGACGGAUGGCAAAGCGCCGGCCAAAGCGAAUCGUGCCGGGUAAUCCACAAAGCCUAAGUGAAUUGCAAAAACAGAUCUUUAAGUCAACAGGAAAACCUUGGUUUCAUUUUUUCCAAUUUGUACGAAGACGUGAUGACAAGUUACCAUCACUCGCACUAAUGCUAAAGUCACUAAGAAGAGAAAAAGAUCUAUAGAUGAAGCCAAAUUAUGACAAUCGUUCUGUUGUGCGUUUCUCCUUGCUGUCCUGCAUUUCAAUAAAUGUUUUAAGGUACACUU
Dermacentor silvarum is the source of this 511-nucleotide long non-coding RNA. RefSeq lists it as uncharacterized. NCBI's taxonomy places the organism in Eukaryota, Metazoa, Arthropoda, Arachnida, Ixodida, Ixodidae. The transcript has 5 exons. The record is from RefSeq and is a predicted model, not a curated record.